CUUAACCUCUUGAGACCAAACAUAUGUUAGUGUGAAGUAGCAAACUUGUGUGUUUGUUGUCCAGUUCAUGACUACAAGCUGAAAAUAUUUUGACAUCACUAGUUAAAGUUUGAUAAAGGUAAUUACUGGCAUAGAAGCACCCAAGAUGUUUGCCAUGUUGGCUGCCUUUCAGUCUAUCCCACUGAAUAUUGCAGUGCUUUCCAGUCAGACAUUAGAGACCAUGUCAUGAAUGCUUACAGCAACCUGGCAAAGUUUCCUGCCACUGUAUGUGCACUGGCUCCAUAAAUCCCAGAGUAUUUAUUUCUGGGUCUGUCAUUUUCUUCUUAGAAAAACAUUUAAUACUCAGACUGUAUCUUCUGCACACAUUCAAGUGGGAAAAGAAAAGAAAGAAAAAAGAGGAAAAAAAAAAAGAGACUUGCAGUAGUUCAUUUUCAGCUCGUGUUUUGUGUUUGUGGGUGUUGCAACAGUUGUAGAUCCUGCAAAGUGGAAUGGUUCUUGAUUUAGUCUGUGACAUGAUUUUACUCAUUCUCCCACUGCUUCCUGAGCUCAGCAUGUCCCAGUGUUGUUUGGGAGAGAUAUGGAGUCAGCUGGCUGCUUUUCCAGGCAGCAUUAGUGUCCCCAUGCCUCUCCUUGCAGACAGCAACUUCUGUGUGAUAAGGCUAAGUUUUCAGCUCUGAACAUUCAUCAAAACACACCAUUACUCUAGUAAGAACAUUAAACUGAGAUCUCUGAUGCAUGGCCAAUUUGUCUCCUACACAAUGCUCUUCUCAGUUUGCACCUUUAAUGCAGCAGGUUUGGAAAUAGGCUUUGAAACAGGACCAUGUGGCUGAGCACAGAGAGCAGGAACCAGGAGGUUUGACAAUUGCAUCAUUAUCUGUGUCAUGCAGACGGAGCAGCCCCACAAGAGAGAGCUCUGUAUCACAAAUGUAGUGGUGGAAAUGGGAGUCAGUCCUCUCUCUCCCCAUCCAGAAUUUUGGGCAGUAGGCUGGGCAAACAGCAUGGAUGGUUCAGGGCUGCAUUUUUUAGCUCCUGGGCUUUUUGGUUUUCCUUCCUUCUUUCCUUCCUUCUUUCCUUCGUUUCCUUCUUUCUGUCUUUCGUGCAUUGGUAGCUUAUCCCUCCCUCUUCUCUACAGCAUCCUUGAGGCCGAUGUGCUGCUAGUAGAACUAGACACUCAUAUUCAACCCAAAUCUCUUCUGCUUUUUUGCCAGCUCUACUUGCCAGUUCCAAAUGGUCAGGGGAGCAGUGGUUCUAACCAGGCCAAGGGGCAUGUUAGGAAGUGAGAACAGGAGACUGUGAGCUCUUACCAGCAACAAGAAAAGGCUGCAGACAGCUCAGCAGUCAUCAGGACUGGAGAAGGAUGGGGGCAGAAUGCUGGGAAUGCUGCUGGUUCCUGCAGAAUUCCACUGGAAUGGGUAUUUCUGACUUAAGGGGAAAAAACCCUCCCCAUAAAGAAUAGGGUGGGUUUAGUUCUUAGGACAUUUAAUGAUGUACUGGCACAUAGUAACUGCACUAUAAAUAUAGUCUGAAAAAAUAUGAGCUUAGUUUGGAAGCUGCUCUCAGCUAAAUUAUGGGGUUUUUAUCCUGACCUAAACUGAUCCCACAUGUUCCUGGAGUCUCCCAAUGUUUGAGUGCACAGUAAAUCAACUGUAAUUUUUGCUUUUUAUUGCAAAGAAUGAACAGAAGAGAUUGGAAAUUAUAUGACUUUGGCAUAUGUUUAUCACAUGGUUCAGGAUUGUUUGAUAUCUUUUUAGCUUUAAGAUUUAAAUAAAGUUUAAAACAGGUAUAGAGGAUCAAAACUUGUUAACUGGCAUUAGCUCAGAGAAAGCAGCCUGAGGUUUACCAAAGUGUUCAUUUCACAAACAUUCAGUGCCUCUACAGAGAAGAAUGCACUGAUUUUACAAGUAUUCAUGUGUUCUGCUCACACAUACUGACUGUGUGAAGAAAUAGUACCACAGUAAGGAACAGUAAAGGAGGAGGAAAUAGCAAGUGACUUCUUUGGUUAUGAUACCCACUGCUUUAAAGCAACAGCCGUUGUACCCCUGGAUCGUGGUGCUUCUCCUUCAAAAAAUGAGCACAUUCAGUAUUUACUCUUUUUAACUCUCCUAAGGCCUUCUCUUCCCUCUUCCUCACUCCUCCUUGUUGUACCCACUUCAGGGGUGAUGCCAUAAACAAGUGUCUGCUCUGCAGCGUGGAGCUUAGCCUGCCCAUUUCAGCUUUGAAACUCUUUGCCUUUCUGUUCACAGACACAUUUUUUUCAUCUGAUCCCUGCCCUCCAGCCUUUUUUAAGAUAUUUCAUACUUUUUGUUGCUGUACCUUGUUACUUCUUCCUACUCUUUGGCUGCUUUUUCCAAUUUUUUUCUUUUUUUCUUUUAACUUCAGAGUUGGUAUUUGUAUUCUUUACUGGUACUACUGAAAUAUGGCUAAACUGUCUUCUUGAACUUGGCUUUCCUAAUGGACUGGCUUUCCCCUCUGAAACAUUAGUCUUGCAGCAUGAGUUUUGUGAGCUGACUGCCCACACAAGUCUGCUGCCAUGUGGGCUGUAGAGUCAGCUUGUCUGAAGCCUUCCUCAGUAAUUACCAGGUAAUAAAAGUUAACUGCCCCAUAAAACCACAUGGAUGAACCAUGCUAUUGCUGGCUUGCCCUACUCAGCCAUCCUCUUCCUGUGUGCUUGAUCUUUUGGGCAGGGGAAAGGACUACCCAGGGUCCCUUUUGGCACUCUUCUCUGUGUUUCUGAUAACUGGCGACCUGGCUAUGGGCUGCUGCUGACAAGGCUCAGAAGCACAUCUCAAACUAGGAGCCUGAAGCAGUGAAUCUGAGCUAAGAAGUUCCUACUUUAUCUGUCAGAAGGGGGGAAAAAAGAAGUUAAGGCACUCCAAACUCCUCCAACACUUAACUGUUCUCUAGACACCUUGAAAAGUGUUACAGAGUAAUGCUUCAAAGCUUAUCUGUUGGCAGCACUAUAACUGCUGCAGAGUGAAGGUGUCUAACAUGGACUCAAAAAGAGAUCAGCUUUGCAACUUCCCUGAAUUGGCCAUGACUCAAACUGGCAGAACUAGUCUUGAUUUUGUAGUUCAGUAGAUGUGUAUAAUACCUUUCUGGAGAAUUGGAAGUGUCAGGUUUCUGCCAACCUGCUAACAUGAUUUAUAUUGCUCUUGUAACUUGUAAUUUUUACUGCUGAGGCUCUGGUAUCUUCUUUUCUCGUGUGUGUCUUCUACCUCAUUUUUUACUUCUCGAUGAGAUAACAAUCCCAUUUGGGGGUUGGGUGUUUUUUUUUUUUUCUUUCGUUAUUACUAAGUAACUGAGUUUUCAGUCUUCUUCAGGGGCUGCAAGUAUGUCUGUGCAGAGUUCCUGGGAGAAUUGUAAAGGAGUUUAAAAAUGAUACAGAAGGCUGUUAAAAUACAGGUGGUAGCUUGGGAGGGGAAGCUGCUGAGUUGUAGAGCAUCCAGAAAUAGCCAGAAUAUCUUAGGAUAUCACUUAAUCCAUGCUCCUGCCCCAAAGAAGAAUCUUUACACUAGUACUCCUAACAGAGGCUUGUCUAAAUUGUGCUUACAUAAUGACAACCCUUCAGCCUCAUUAGGCAGCCGCUUACCCUUAACCUUAACCCUUGGAAAGAUUUUCUUAAUCUUGAGUCUUAAGUAUUCCAGGAUCCCAGAAAGAACCUGUUUGGGAUAGCGCCAAAAGAAUUCAGCUUCUCUUUUGCUUGCUGCACUGACUUUACAGGAGCGGAGGAGGGAAGCAACAAUAUGAAAGACACUUCCUUUCUUCCCCAUGGUCUGUCAAACUGAGUCCUCUCCGGUUUCAUCAGUGGCAAGGUACAUCUAAAAUGUUUACUGCAGGAAGAUGAAGCAGCCUUGCAGCCAGCUGCUCAGCAUUGGUCACUGCCUGCCAGAAGGAUGGGCCCAUCAUCGUGGCCCAGCACGGCCGUUCAUCACCCAGCACGUGCAGAGGUUAAGGGAUGCAAUCCCUGGGUUCGAGUGCAGUAAAAAUCGACCGGAAGCCCAGAGAAUCAGCCAAGAAACACUUUCAGAAGUCUGGAUUUCCUGCGCAUAAUGAAUUCUCAGAACGUCUUGUGGCCCAACAAGGUUGAUGAAUUUUUAGGAAGAUGAACUGAAUAACACAUAAAUCAGAAAGUGUUGAUGGUUGUGUUUCCAUGCAUUGGGGCCAUUUAUGAAGGAAGCUAUAAGGCAGUUUUCAUGUAUGAGGGCAUUGAUGCUGAACUAACAUCCAGGAAGCAGAGGGGUGGCAAGGACUGCACCUAAACCACCGACUCAGGGUCCUGCCUCUGGCCUGUCUCCAUUGGCCUGCUUGGGGGUGGUCACUGUGACUCAGGAGAGAAGUGCUAAAAGAGUCUUCUGUUCCUGUGCCUUCCAGCUGCUUCCAUCUUCCCUAACUUGAACAUCUCAGCUGUACACACGGAUAUAAGGACUACAUCACUUGCUGGCGCUGGCCUGUCCUGAGGACAGUAGGUGUUCUCCAUCAGUGAGUUUAGUUACACUUCAUCUGAACUUGUGGGUGUCAGAAAAAUUGAGCUCAUAAUCUUGAUAUUACAACCUUGUAGAAAAAGACCUUACCCCGAGGUUUGCCAUGUGAAUUUUGGGUUCUGGUGCUCAAAUACCUCUUUCUGCAACUGCUUUUAGUGAAUGAAUCUUGUGACUGGAAACGCUGCAUGCACUAGAACUGUGUUUAAAGCUGAAUUAUCAAAAAAUCCUCCAAAUUAACAGGAGAUUUUAAUCCGUGUUUGUUGGUCAUUCACAUGCUGCUGAGCAAGAAAUCCCUUAAGAGUUAAGAGCCACACAUGUACACUUGGAAGUGGAGGAGGAAUAUAUUUAUAUCCUCCAGCCCUAUGUGCCAGAGGAAGAAGGGCAAAAAGUCCUUCCAACGUGGAGAGGACUCCACAGACAGACAAAUACAGGGGGAGAAAUGAGCAGAUGGUGGACAGGAGGCAUUAAAGCCACAGCUCAUCUGCAUGGGGGCCCAGUCCAGAUUGCACCGGGAAGGGUCCCGAGUUGGCUCCCUGCCGAGGCCGCCGGCGGAGGUGAGGGAAUGUGAUCAAUAGGAGGCAUCAAGUGUUGGCUUGGGAAUCAAAGGCAAAACCGUGGAAAUGCCACUCUGCAAAUGGGGUUUUGCUCCGUUGCCAGGAGGUUCUCUAGCGGCAUUGGAAGACCAACCCGGUAACAGGAAAUUAACCAGAAGCGUUUUUGAGCGGCUCCUCGGCUGGUGAGUGCUGCUGGGGCUAUUUAUACCUCUGAACUACAGCAAUUCACCCUGUUAAGGAGCUGCUCAGAUGUCACAUAUUAGCCACUGCCAGAAUAAGUGACCUUUCUGCACAGUACAUUAAGAACAAAGAGAUGGAAAUUCCCAUUUUCCAAGCAUGGUCCAAAAAAACCUCUGUGCUCUUGUUAAACCAGCUGCAUUGAAGAGGAGUGAUUAGAACAGGCCUUUUUUUUUUUUAAGCCUGCACCUGUCUCUCAUUCCACAGCUGAGGACACACUGCAAUCUACUUCCUUCCAGACCUGAUCCUGUAAGAGCUUCAGGUGGUAAUUAAAUUCAUCAUUAUCUACAUCUGUUCUACUUAAAACACUUGAGGGGAAAAGCCACCUGAAGGCCAACAGUUGCUGGAACUUGUAGUAAUGAGUCACCCACAGGAAAAAAAGAAGCUCCCCCAUUUCUUCAUCCCCAAAUGGGUGAGAUUUUUCUUGGUUUUCAUUCUUAUAGAAGUCAAGAUCUUGCAAAGGAGGGAGGAUCAGUUUUGAGCAGCCUUGGGUGUCAGUCUCUUGAGAAGGUGACAGCCUCACUCCCAGCUAGGAAGAAAGGUUCCCUGGCUGUUCUAUCAAGAAUUACACAGGAAAGAACUGUGCCAGAUUACUGCAGGAAAGACGCUGUUGGAGAGGACUUCUGGCUUCUUUCCAGGGUACCUGACUGUCUCAUGGCAUAUUGGUGUCAUCCAGGGCAUCCAACAUGAAGCUCUCUAAUGUUAAUGAUAAAAGAAAAUUACUUCCCUGUGACUGGGGUUGGAGUGAACACAAGUGGCAUCACUGUUCUGUCAGAAAGCAUCAGAGCUUAUGGAUCUCCCAGUGGGAAGUAAAUUGCCUUGAUGUCCCCAGGGUCAAAAGCAGCGUGGCAGAUGCAGUGGCACAUCCCCUUUGGAAAAGCAACGAGAGAGAAAAAGCGGCAGGAGUGCAAAGCCGCUCAUUCACUCAGAGUAAUUGGUGAUGGAUAGGGAGCAAUAGAGGAGGGAUAAUACAGGGCAGUUUAUUGGGACACAGGAAGUGUGAAGAUGGAUGACAUCCCCAGUUCUGCACGGUGCUCCUUCCACACAUGCUAUUAAAUCCAGACUGGAAAGUGAAGCAGGCAGUCUACACCAAAGGGAGCUGUGCCUUCCAGGAGGCUCCCGGGUUAGUGGCCACACCACUCAAAGCCAGGACUUUGCUUCAAAUCACACCUUUCACUUCUGGGACAAAAAGGGGCUGCUCCAAGGCCAUGGAUCAAGGUCUAACCAAGUCCAGAUCACAGUUUUGAAUGUUCCUGCUCAGGACAUGCUAAAGGAACAUACCACUUAUGGAAAAGACUCCAGAAUAUCACCAGAAAGAGGACUGGGCAAUUUCAAGUCUUUGAUGAGCCAUUAUUUGAGCUUCCAAAUCUCCUGUGAGGACAAGGCAUCUCUGAGCUCACACCUCCUCAUCCAGCUCACCCUCUGCCUGCUGGAUCCUCGCUGCUGAACUGCUUCAAACACCAUCAUACAAUGCCUGGUCUAUUGUGUUCCUAGAUGUGUUUACAGUUGCUUCAAGGACAAGGAACAACACUUUUCCAUGAUGCUUUUGUUGCCUCAAUGUUGGAGUCACAAAUAAUUCCUGUCUGGUUUCACAUACGGGCCUUGGAGCAGUGAUGGAGACUCCGGUCCUGACCAGGAGAGCACAACUCCAGCGAUGAAGGUAAAGGAGUUCAUCCUACUGGAAUAUCCCUGGGGCUGCCAGCGAGGAACUCUUGAGCUGCCCGAACACAAAACCAGAUGCACACGUUCUCCAUGGGAUCAGUGUGCUCUGAUGGGUGAAGCUGCUCCAGCUCCACGGAACAGGGACACAGAGCAGCCCCAGCACAGGCAGAAGGCUCUGAAGUGACACCGGGCUGACGGGGAACAGCGUUUGUCCCAGGAUUAUCAUCAGGCCCCUCACAACCACAUUUACACUCACGCUGCGUGGAUGGGGACUUGUUGACAAUUCCCUGAAUUCCAGUUUGGAAGGAAAAGUUUUGUGUUUGAAGUGGAUUAUGGGAUGGAGAGGCAUGGGCUAGAGAGCAAAGCUGCACUGUGGAAAUCGUGGUGGAAAUUCCAUGUGCAGUUUGGAGGCACUCAUCAACACGAUGGUAAAUGAAAAAUGAAUAAUAACAAUCUCUGUAUCACAAACCCCACAAGGAACGUAGGUUCAGCUGCCCAGUGUUUUCCUCAGCCUCAUUUCUGAUUCCUUUUGAUAACUGUUGGUGCCGCUUUCUGGUGCCUGGCCAGAGAUCAUCACUCAGUCCGGCUUCAUUUAUUCCUUUCACAUCCUGAUGACUGUGGAUUAUGGUGAGUGCACAGUUCAAAGCUGCUGGUGUUUGC
This is a long non-coding RNA of Corvus hawaiiensis (hawaiian crow), 7594 nucleotides long. RefSeq lists it as uncharacterized. The record is from RefSeq and is a predicted model, not a curated record. The transcript has 13 exons. Lineage: Eukaryota; Metazoa; Chordata; Aves; Passeriformes; Corvidae.